Molecule: ribosomal RNA, 410 nt
Filed under: uncultured Methylomirabilota bacterium
Lineage: Bacteria; Methylomirabilota (SeqCode)
Description: bacterial SSU rRNA
Rfam family: Bacterial small subunit ribosomal RNA
Source: RNAcentral
AGCGUGGAGACAGGUGGUGCAUGGCUGUCGUCAGCUCGUGUCGUGAGAUGUUGGGUUAAGUCCCGCAACGAGCGCAACCCUCACCCCUUGUUGCCAUCAGGUCACGCUGGGCACUCUAGGGGAACUGCCCCGGUCAACGGGGAGGAAGGUGGGGACGACGUCAAGUCAUCAUGCCCCUUACGCCCUGGGCUACACGCGUGUUACAAUGGCCGGUACAAAGGGAUGCAAGACCGUGAGGUGGAGCUAAACCCAAAAAGCCGGUCUAAGUUCAGAUUGGAGUCUGCAACUCGACUCCAUGAAGGAGGAAUCGCUGGUAAUCGCGCAUCAGCACGGCGCGGUGAAUACGUUCCCGGGCCUUGUACACACCGCCCGUCACACCACGAAAGCCAGCUGUACUCGAAGUCGCUGAG